Molecule: non-coding RNA, 30 nt
Filed under: Rattus norvegicus (Norway rat)
Lineage: Eukaryota; Metazoa; Chordata; Mammalia; Rodentia; Muridae
Source: RNAcentral
UAAUGUGUUUGUUGCAUUGCAUUAGUGUGU